ACGGACAGAAAAGGCCCAGUGGCCCGCGGCGGGACAGAGCUUCCAAUCACUCCUGCAAGGUAGGCGGGCCUGCGACCCACCUGCAGAAGAGGAGCAGCGACCUGCUGAGAGGCAGAGCCGCCCCCUCCCCCUGCACCUGCAAGGUAGAAGGAACUGUGACCACGCACAGAGCAGGCCCAGCGGCCUGCUGAGGGGCAGAGCCACCCCCCACCCCCCGCCCCUGCCAGGUGACCACCGACAGAAAAGGCCCAGUGGCCCGCGGCAGGACAGAGCUUCCAAUCACUCCUGCAAGGUAGGCGGGCCUGCGACCCACCUGCAGAAGAGGAGCAGCGACCUGCUGAGAGGCAGAGCCGCCCCCUCCCCCUGCACCUGCAAGGUAGAAGGAACUGUGACCACGCACAGAGCAGGCCCAGCGGC
This 417-nucleotide long non-coding RNA is filed under the name Marmota monax (woodchuck). Lineage: Eukaryota; Metazoa; Chordata; Mammalia; Rodentia; Sciuridae. The record is from RNAcentral.